Long non-coding RNA from Lycium barbarum (goji berry), 3042 nucleotides. RefSeq lists it as uncharacterized. Lineage: Eukaryota; Viridiplantae; Streptophyta; Magnoliopsida; Solanales; Solanaceae. The transcript has 4 exons. The record is from RefSeq and is a predicted model, not a curated record.
UGCAAAACAUUUCUAUUUCGAGAUUUAGCACCUGUAAUUUUAGAAAGUAGCAAAAUUAAGAAUGAAAUAUGAAACAAGUAGUAACAAUAAUAUAGCUGAGUAUCUGCAGAAACCUUUACCUUUAAUUGUUUGAGAUGGUAUAUUAUGUUGGUCAUUAGAAGUACGCGAUGUUGAGCCUAAAAGGGAAAAAUAUUUAUUAUCUAUAUAUGAAUAUCUAUAUAUUAUUAAAAAGAGGAUAGUUUUAGGACAAAAAGUAGUUAAUUAGUUAAUAAUUAGUUAUUAGUUAUUGUUUGACUUUAAAAAUAAUUAAAUAUCUAUUUUUUUAAAGUAGUGGUUGUAGUGUUACCCAUUUCUUUACAAUGAGGAAAAAAACUGAAGACCAUGUUUCUGCCAAAUCAAGUUUAAGUUUUAAAUAUUUGUAAUUCAUUUUCUUUUAAAUUCUACUUAGAAAGAUGAAAAAUGAAGGUGGAAAUUGCUAUUCUUAAAAAUUGCUAAAAAUGCUAUCCAUGUUAUACUAUUCCUAAAAAAUUCCUGCUAAAUUACACGUCUGGACCAGCAGUUGUGGUUGCAUUAUUGCAACAAAAGCAGAGACUUAGAAACCAACUAGACUCCUCCUUACCCAAUUCUCUCAACUGCACUUGACACCACAUUUAAAAGACCCCCAAAAAAAAAAAAAAACAACCAAAACCAACCCCAAAGCCUACGUUUGUAACUUCUCCAUUUUCCUCAUUUUAUUCUUUCAUGAUCACACACAACCUUCAACUCACAAAUAUACACCAUUAGAGUCUUUCAAGUUUCACGUGGCAACUACAAUGGAAUUGAAUUAAUUUUCAAAAGUUUGAAUUUUAAAUUUUUGAUUGAGAGUGGUUAAUUUUUUUUAAAAUUCAAAUUCACUAUAAAGAAGGGUUGCAAAGUGUCCACUUCCACGAUCAACUACUAAUUAACUGCUACAUUUAAAACAAAUUUAAUUUAUAAGAGGGCAACUUCUCUAUUCAGAUGGAGAAGUGCUUUCAUAAAAAAACAUUUUUCUUUAAAAGUUAUCGAAUAGAAUGGUUGGCUCUUCAUGAGAGCCCUUUCUAAGGAAAAAGUGAGAAACUUCUCUCCCAUGGUAAAAGAAGUAGGUAGUUAUGGCAGUACUCCUCAUGUCACCAUUGAAGAAUUCCAAGAACUUUUUGGAAGCAUCGGACAAGUAAUAUGUGGUGAUGAUAUAAGACCCGUGGCCAUGGAGCAUAAAGCUAUACAGAUGAAAAAGGAUAUAACAUAGGGAAUGUUGUUUUGUCAUAUGAAGAUGCUUCUGCAGCACUCUGCUAGGGGCUUUUAAAAUAAUUAUGACUUCAGAGGUUAAUUUUAAUAUCAGUGUUGCAAUGGCUGAGAAGUCUUCACUAAAGGCUCCUCCAGCAUAUGGUUUUUGGAACAACAACAGAAAAAGGAAUAUUCAUCCUUUUCAACUUACUGCAACUCUGAAUAUAUCAUGUUCACAUGUUAUGCCUUAUCAUCAUAUGUGGAGCAAAGUUAAAAGUAGAUAAUUCUAUGCUCGACAAAUAUACAUCAUGUGGUUGGGUGCCCAAUUGAAGUAGCAAUUUCACCUUCCAAAGUUUCAUAUACUGUAAAGGAUACAUGUAAUAUAAUGAUUUGAAUUGUGUAUUGCCUUCCAAUGAUUGGGAGCUUUUGUCACUCAAAGAUUUAUUUCUUUAACGGGGUAAUUUAAACCAAUAUGUAAUGGAAUGUAAUAGGGUUUGUGGUGCGAUUAUCACAUGUUCCAUAACAUGAUAACCCAAACAUGUCUUUCCCUCUCUAAUUAGGUAAAGAGAAAUAUUCAUCCUUUUCAAUUUACUGCAGUUCUGAAUAUAUCAUGUUCACAUGUUUAAUUAGGUAAGAGAAAAAGAUACAAAUUUUUUUUUUAGUAGAUAAUACUUAACUGAAUUUGAAUUGAAGAAAUAUUUUGAACCGGCAAGAGAAAAGUUAUACUAUGAAUAAGAUCAUGUAACUGAAAUAAAAGAUGGAAAAACAAAACAAAUGCCAAGCAACAAAAUAAAAUUAUAAAUACAAUAGAAUUUCUCAAAUAGAAAAUAUAAAUAAAUGCUUAUUGCAUAUAAUACUACACUAGCAAUUACUAAAAAUAUUAACAGAUUUUAUGAUAAAAUAAUAAAAAAAACUUCUCCAUUUAUACAUUGAACAAAUUUGGAAUCACGAUAAUACAUAACAUUGUUUGGACCAUAAGUAAACCACUUACUGGAAAACCUAAGUCAUAAUUUACUAUGAUUAAAUUAUAAAUUAAAAAAUAUGAAAAUAAUUAAUGUUUAGUGAUAAGAAUGUAUAUGAAGUCAUGUGUAAUUUUUAGCACUACUGGUCUAAUUCAAUAGCUUGAGAUUUUUAUGAUUUUCUAACAUCACAAUAUGGAGAAGUAAAUGAAGAUGUUUCUCUUGCUGAUGUUAUUCAUACAGUACCAGCAAACGAGUACAAUAGAUUUAUUAGACAUUAUUUCUUAGGCAUUAUUGGUGCUAAAUGUUAGCUUGGUCUUUUCAAUAAUAUUGGUUUUGGCGUUGUCUUACAUGGGGAUUGUUACGCUUACAAUUAUUCGAAUGAAGAUAAUGAUCACAGGAACAAUUCAUCAAGCAAAUCAUCAUCUUCUUUUAUGCAAAGAUCUUUAACUACCUCUUUUAAUACUUCAACAAAGGAUGCAUUAGAAUCUCAGGGAUAUUUUCAGGGCGAAAUAGAAGUCUGUGAAGUUUAAGUUUCUCCAAAAUUUAAAAUUUCAGUUUAAGAUGAUUGUUGUAACAAUUUCACAUAUUAGUUACAUACAAACAUAGAAGAGAUAACGUGAAAAUUGUGUACUCCCAAUAUCUUCUUCGUAUAGCUGUUUUGUGACAAUAACUAUUUUUACAUGCAUAAAUUUUUCCUAUCUCUGGUAUGUGAACUUCUGAAUUUAAAUUUCUUUGGACAAUGAUAUAGUUGAGAGAAGCGCUUUGCACAAUGCUAUAAAGAAGAUUUCACUGCAAGAUGUCGGAUCACAAAGCCGAAGUAAAAAAAAAUUCACUGUAU